Molecule: non-coding RNA, 3620 nt
Filed under: synthetic construct
Source: RNAcentral
CCAAAAUUGUUGCGGCCCUAAAGGAUGACUGUACAUCCAGUUUUCUCAAGAAAACAAAUUAUGCUGACUCGCUCAAGCAUAAAAAUGAAAUGUUCGCCUCCCUACAGAGUCUCCUAACAGGCUCCCAGCCCAGCCAAAAACUCACUCAAGAAAAUGCCCCCCAACAGAAAAACCCUGAAAAGGGCUUUGCCUACGAUGCUCAUAAAAGAAAGGAGGCCUACUUUAAAAAGCUAGCUGAUGAAGGGCUCAAAAGACUAACAAAUUCUUUGGAUACCAACAUUGGAAAUCUGGAAAAACUCUUAGGAAUCAGGAUCUGGGGUCAAUCGGUUUAUGCUGAGCUGGCCAAACUCCUGAAUCAUUUCCUUAUUAGAAAAUUUCUAGUCCAAAACGCCACCUCCACAGAUUGGACAGUGGAGGAAGCAAGGGAAAAGUCCCAAUUUAUUAAGAGUAUACUAUAUGGGCACUCAAUUAAUAGGGAGCACAUCCAAAGCCUGGGAUCUGUGUACUACAAAUUACUUAAUGGUCCCCUCAUAAAAGAAAGAGGACUGUUCAAACUCCCUAUAAACAUCCUUUUGGCACAGUCUUUGGAUGCGGCAGAGGUCCUACCUCACCAGAAAAUUGCCAUGUGUUUUGAUGUUACCAACCUAAAAAGUCCCAAGGACUGGAUCGAUGUUCAGUUCAAUCAAUUUUAUAAUUUUCUCCCAAACACCCAUCUGGCGGGUGUACAAGAGCAAGCUUGGAGGUAUAUCAGAGAGUUGGUCCUAAGUGUCACCGUCUACAAUGUCAUCUGGGAAAAAUCCCUGUCCAUCUGCUCCCCUUCUGACUUUCAAGACAUCAAAGACUUUGAGGCACGCUCAGUAGACCUGGACACUGUAUGCCUGACGUUCGAGGCCUCUUGCCCACUCAUACUGAUAUCAAAAAAUCAAUUGAGGGUAUUUAAAGACAUCUAUACAAUGUUAAAUUAUCACUUGUACAUUUGAACCGAUUCAGCCAGUGUUGGAUGUACCCUACAGUGAAAAGUAUGAGAGUCGCCCACCUAACCAAUCUCCUAACCCUUCUGUGUCUGCUGUGCCACACGCAUCUCUACGUAUGUCAGCCAACCACUCUGAGGCAGCCAUCAGACAUGACCCCAGCCCAGGACGCUCCAACAGAGACUCCCCCACCCCUCUCAACUAACACUAACAGAGGAUUUGAGUACUUUCGCGUGUGUGGGGUGGCUGCCACGGGGGAGACCUUCAGGUUUGAUUUAGACAAAACAUGCCCCAGUACACAAGAUAAGAAGCAUGUGGAGGGCAUCUUGCUCGUGUAUAAGAUCAACAUCGUGCCCUACAUCUUCAAAAUCAGGAGAUAUAGAAAAAUAAUUACUCAACUGACCAUCUGGCGAGGCCUAACCACUAGUUCAGUCACUGGUAAAUUUGAAAUGGCCACUCAGGCCCACGAGUGGGAAGUGGGCGACUUUGACAGCAUCUAUCAGUGCUACAAUAGCGCCACCAUGGUGGUAAACAACGUCAGACAGGUGUAUGUGGACAGAGAUGGGGUCAAUAAAACUGUGAACAUACGCCCUGUUGAUGGUCUAACAGGGAAUAUCCAAAGAUACUUUAGUCAGCCCACCCUUUAUUCAGAACCUGGUUGGAUGCCUGGCUUUUAUCGUGUUCGAACCACCGUUAACUGUGAAAUUGUAGACAUGGUGGCACGCUCCAUGGAUCCCUAUAACUACAUCGCUACCGCCCUGGGAGACAGCCUGGAGCUCUCCCCGUUUCAAACCUUUGACAACACCAGCCAGUCUACUGCGCCUAAGAGAGCUGAUAUGAGGGUCAGGGAGGUCAAGAAUUACAAGUUUGUAGAUUAUAAUAACAGGGGAACUGCCCCCGCUGGACAAAGCAGGACCUUUCUAGAGACUCCCUCUGCCACUUACUCCUGGAAAACAGCCACCAGACAAACUGCCACGUGCGACCUGGUGCACUGGAAAACAUUCCCUCGCGCCAUCCAAACUGCUCAUGAACAUAGCUACCAUUUUGUGGCCAAUGAAGUCACCGCCACCUUCAAUACACCCCUGACUGAGGUAGAAAAUUUCACCAGCACGUAUAGCUGCGUCAGUGACCAGAUCAAUAAGACCAUCUCUGAAUAUAUCCAAAAGUUGAACAACUCCUACGUGGCCAGUGGGAAAACACAGUAUUUCAAGACUGAUGGUAACCUGUACCUCAUCUGGCAACCACUCGAACAUCCAGAGAUUGAAGACAUAGACGAGGACAGCGACCCAGAACCAACCCCCGCCCCACCAAAGUCCACAAGGAGAAAAAGAGAGGCAGCUGACAAUGGAAACUCAACAUCUGAGGUCUCAAAGGGCUCAGAAAAUCCGCUCAUUACGGCCCAAAUUCAAUUUGCCUAUGACAAGCUGACCACCAGCGUCAACAACGUGCUUGAGGAGUUGUCCAGGGCGUGGUGUAGAGAACAGGUCAGAGACACCCUCAUGUGGUAUGAGCUUAGCAAGGUCAACCCUACGAGUGUGAUGUCUGCCAUUUAUGGAAAGCCUGUCGCUGCCAGGUACGUGGGCGACGCCAUAUCUGUGACAGACUGUAUCUAUGUGGACCAAAGUUCAGUCAACAUCCACCAGAGCUUGCGGCUGCAGCAUGAUAAAACCACCUGCUACUCGAGACCUAGAGUCACCUUCAAAUUUAUAAACAGUACAGACCCGCUAACUGGCCAGUUGGGUCCUAGAAAAGAAAUUAUCCUCUCCAACACAAACAUAGAAACAUGCAAGGAUGAGAGUGAACACUACUUCAUUGUGGGGGAAUACAUUUACUAUUAUAAAAAUUACAUUUUUGAAGAAAAGCUAAACCUCUCAAGCAUCGCUACCCUAGACACAUUUAUAGCCCUCAAUAUCUCAUUUAUUGAAAAUAUCGACUUCAAAACAGUAGAACUGUACUCCUCUACUGAAAGGAAACUCGCAUCGAGCGUCUUUGAUAUAGAAUCCAUGUUUAGGGAAUAUAACUAUUACACCUACAGCCUCGCGGGCAUUAAGAAGGACCUAGACAACACCAUCGACUACAAUAGAGACAGACUGGUUCAGGACCUGUCAGACAUGAUGGCUGAUCUGGGAGACAUUGGAAGAUCUGUGGUGAAUGUGGUCAGCUCGGUAGUCACAUUUUUCAGUAGUAUUGUGACAGGGUUCAUUAAAUUCUUUACCAACCCUCUAGGGGGAAUAUUCAUUCUCCUAAUUAUUGGUGGAAUAAUCUUCUUGGUGGUAGUCCUAAAUAGAAGAAACUCACAGUUUCACGAUGCACCCAUCAAAAUGCUGUACCCUUCUGUUGAAAACUACGCUGCCAGACAGGCGCCACCUCCCUAUAGCGCAUCACCUCCAGCUAUAGACAAAGAGGAAAUUAAGCGCAUACUUUUGGGCAUGCAUCAGGUACACCAGGAAGAAAAGGAAGCACAGAAACAACUAACCAACUCUGGCCCUACUUUGUGGCAGAAAGCCACAGGAUUCCUUAGAAAUCGCCGGAAGGGAUACAGCCAACUUCCUCUGGAAGAUGAAUCAACUUCCCUCUAGUGGCCACCCCAUGACUCAGACACUUUAAAAACUAAUACUUUGAAUAAUAAACUGGUUUCUGUCCACCUUA